This 8595-nucleotide long non-coding RNA is filed under the name Homo sapiens (human). RNAcentral's name for it is "HSALNT0125965". The stretch from base 8297 to 8476 matches the Rfam family "Embryonic ventral forebrain RNA 1 conserved region 1". Lineage: Eukaryota; Metazoa; Chordata; Mammalia; Primates; Hominidae. The record is from RNAcentral.
CAGAACUCCUAGAUCACCCAAGUCUAAUGUAGACCAUCAUCUUGGAGAAGAAAUUUGAUGUUGGUGUUGAAUAAAGUUCACCAAUGAUUUGGCCAUGAAAUAAGAGAUGGAGGAGUUCCUGAAAGCCUGUGUAGAAAGACUUACAGAAGAAAUAAGAAACUGAAGUAAAGGAAACAGGAAAUAAUAAAAAGAAAGGAUAGGGAAGAUGUUACAUUUAGGGGAAGCUGGGUGAAGAGUAGAAGAAACUUCUAUAUACUCUUUUUGCAAAUACUUGUAAGUCUACUAUUAUUUCAAAAUAAAAAGUUAGAACAAAUUUUUUUAAAAGACAUGAGAAAAUUGAGAUGGAGAAAUAAACUGUCUUAAGAGCAAUUCCAUAUAAUUUGAAUAGGCUAAAGGAAGCUUUAGUGAACUUCUCACCAUUCUUUAUUCAAUAUUCAGGGAACAUUUUUUUGAGCACUUUCUUUGUAACCGUCAUUCUUCUAAAUGUUAAAGAUGUAGUAAACAAAAAAUUUCUGUUCUUAUAGGUCUUAUAUUCCAGUUCAUAUUUAUAAUAGACAACUAAUAGGUAGAUAUAUAAUGUGUCAGAUGAUGGUAAAAAUAAAGCAGGGUAAAGGGGUACCGUGAAAUGGGUGAGUGCUGUUCUAGAUAGGAUAUUCAUGGAAGGUUUCUGAUAAGGUAACAUUUGGGCUGAAUGAAGGGAGAGAACUGAGCCACAUGAAUACUUGAGAAAAGAGUAUUCCACACCUAUGGCAAGUAUAAAGGCCCUGAGGUAGGAGCAUGCCUGGUAUGUUCAAAAAACAGCAAGGAAAUCAAGGUGGCAUGAAAACAGCAAGGAGGAGAGAAUGGGGGCUGACCAGAGAGACGUAGAGUGAAUACAGGAAGCAUGUAGGCCUUGAAGGCUAUGGUGAAGACUUUGGAUGUCACUCUGAGUAAGAUGGGAGCCAUUGGAGGGUUUUGAGUAAAACAAUGGCAUAAACUGAUUUGUAUUUUUUAAAGAACCACUUUGGCUGCCAUCAGUGAACAGAUUUUAGGGGGAAAAGAUGGAAGCAAGGGAGCUGAUAAGAGGCUAUUGCACUAAUCUAGGUGAGUGAUAAUCAGGCUUAGACCAGGGCUUUAGUGGUGGAGGUAGUGAAAGCAGUUAGAACAAAGUAGAGCUUCAAUUAAGUUGUCAUUUAGCAAAUAUGAAAGGUUAGUGCAGGCAGGUGGGUCCACUUGUUUUGGACAUGUUAAGUUUAGAUGCCUGUUAGAAAGCUAAAUAGUGGUGUCAAGAAGACACCAAGUCCACUUUUGGAGGCCGAGGGGGGUAGAUCACCUGAGGUUCAAGACCAGCCUGGCUAACAUGGUGAAACCCCAUCUCUACUAAAAUUACAAAAAUUAGCCAGGCGUGGAGGCAGAUGCCUGUAAUCCCAGCUACUCAGGAGGCUGAGACAGGAGAAUUGCUUGAACCCGGGAGGCAGAAGUUGCAGUGAGCCAAGAUCAUGCCACUGCACUCUAGCCUGGGCAACAAAGAGCGAAACUCUGUCUCAGAAAAAAAAAAAAAAAAAAAGAACAGAAGAAGGAGACACCAAGUCCAUAGUUUAGGUACAAGCUGGAGUUUGCACAUAAAAAAACUUGGAAGACAUCAGCAUGGAGAUGGUAUUCAAAGCCAAAGGCUAGAUGAGCUCACUGAGAGAAUGGGUUUGAAUAAAGAAGGCAGGUGGCUCGAGAACUGAGCAGUCCCCACUUUUCAAGGUGAAAGAGGAUAAAGAAGAAACUCAGGAGUAGUCUGUGAGGCAGAAGAAGAUCCAAGAAAGAGAAGUGUCCAGAAGACCAAAAAAAAGUAUUGCAAGGAGAAAGUGAUUGGCUGUGACCAACAAGUUGGGAGGUAAAGAUGGAGACUGAAAACUGGCCACUGGAUUUAGCAAGUAAGUACCAUAAAUGACCUCAACACAAGAGUUCAGAGACAGCGGUUAGGGCUGAAAGCCUGAGAGGAAUAGGUUUAAGGAUGAAUGGGAGGGGAGAAAGUAUCUUUACAAAAGUAAAGUCAACGUUGUCAAGGGGAAUUGCUGUAAAGGAAAACAGAGAAAUGGUGUGGUAUGUGAAGGGGAUGUGGAGUUGAGGAAGUUCUCUUGGAUUUUGUUCUUUGAGACUGGAAAUACAACUUAUUUGUAGAUAGGAAUCAUCCAGAAAGCAAAUAAAUCUUCCUGAAAUAGGUCAGGAGUUUUAUUUAACCAAGUUGAAGUGUGUAAAGUAGGAAUCAGGAAGAUUUUAGUUGCAUUAUUCUUGAUUAAUUAAAAAGGGAAGUGGCUGAGAGAGGAACUACCAGUAGUAUUACCAUGAUUUCCAUGGUCAUGACCUUAGCUGGGCCCUAUUGAUAAAGGUGAAUGCAUGAGAGUAAAGAUAAAGGAAUAGAAACUUCACAAAGCUUCAGAGAAAAGGUCAAAGAAGAGAUCUGAAAUGAAUCCAUGAGAUAUAGCAAACAGCAAAAUAAAGCUAGACAGAAAUGCUGGAGAAUUUUCUUGAUAGGUGUACAGAAAUCAAGUGCAAUUAUUUGGGUUUGAGAUGUAUGAGUUAUUUAUUAUAAAUUGCUAUGUGCCUUGUGUAAAACAAAAUCAGACAAUAUAGAACUACAUAGGAUAAAAAACGGAAAGUAUGUGUGCGCACACGCACGUGCACACACACACACGUGCACACACACACACUUUCUUUUUCCCUAGGGGGAACCACUGUUAACAAUUUGGUGCAUCUCCUUAUAGAUGUGUAUAUGUGUGUGUAUAUCCAUGCAUAUAUGUAUGUAUGUAUAAUUACAUUACAAAAAUAUCAUAUACUAUUUACACUAUUCCGCACCUUGCUUUUUAUACCUAAAAUAUGUCUUUUGUAUUUUUCCAUCUCAGUAAAGAUAGCUCUACUUUCUUCUUUAUUAAAAAAAUGAAUAGGCAAUACAUGAACAUGAUACACUAUAUAAAAGGGACAACAGAGAUAGUCUUCCAAUUUCUGAGUCAGUCAGUUUCUCCCCAGAGACAACCACUAUUACCAGUUCCUUAAAUGUCCUUCCUCAGUUAGGCAAUGCAUAGAAACAUAUAUGUAUGUAUUUAUACAAAUGGUAGCACACCAUACACAUUGUUCUGUGCUUUGCUUUUUAAAUUUUAACUGUGUAUCGUGGAUACCACUCCAUAGAUGAAGCUGCCUCAUUCUUUUAAAUGGCAAUAUAAUACUGCACUCUAUUGUCUUUAUUUAAUUAAAUCCUGUAUCUGAAUGUUUCUAAUUUUUCACAAUGAGCUCAAUGCAACCAUACUGAGCAAUAAUGAAGAACUUAUUCAACAAGAAGAAAGAAAAAAAACAAAAUUAAAAAAAAAGACCAAAAGAAAUCAUUUGAGACUGUAAAGAAUUGUGAAUUAAGACCAAAUGAGGCCAGGCACGAUGGCUCACACCUGUAAUCCCAGCACUUUGGGAGGCCGAGGUAGGCGAAUCACUUGAGGUCAGGAGUUUGAGUCUGGCCAACAUGGUGAAACUCCAUCUCUACUAAAAAUACAAAAAUUAGCCAGGAGUGGUGGCAGGAAGCUGUAAUCCCAGCUAUUUGGGAAGCUGAGGCAACAGAAUCACUUGAACCAGGGAGGCGAAGUUUGCAGUGAAUGGAGAUCACACCACUGCACUCCAGCCUGGGUGACAAACUAAGACUAUCUCAAAGGAAAAAAAAAAAAAAAAACUAAUGUCACUAAAAUGAUCCAUUUACUGGGAAAACUCCAAAACAAAAAACAAUAGUGAAAUUUUCCUUCUAUAUAAAAUACAUUAUUAACUGAAUUGGCUAGAAAGACAAUGUCUUGUGGCGGCUAGUCUUAGGCAUGGAAGAUGUCAGUUCUGUGACCACUGGGUAGGUGAGUAAAAUUGAAUCAUUCAAUUCUCUUUGCUUCACUUCCCCAUUUGGAAGAGGAAUAAUUGUGUUCAAUGUCUCUACCUGCUCUGAAGACAUGCAGGAAAAAACAGAAACAUGAACCUGCACAUAGCAGAAAAUUCUCAAGUAAGAUCCUCUCGGGUAAUAAUGUUAGAAUGACUCUGGCCAAGUUAUGUCUUAAAGAGAGCAGCUGAAUUUAGAGGCAGAGACAUGUGUGUAUCAGAAUCAACUGGGAAGAGUUUUCAAACUACUCCUUGUCUUGCUCCCUCCCCGCAUCCCAGUUGAGAACCAUAAUGACUGAAGAAAACUUCCGGUGGCUGGUGCCAUAAGUGAUAGGACAUAAGCAUUUGGGUUCUAAAAAAGGGGGAGAUGCACACAGUGGUGAUGAAGGUCAUGAGUUUCAGUUUCAGGGAUGCCUGGGUUUGAGCAUUGGCUUUACUCCUUAUUGACUAUAUGAUCUUGAACUAUUUAUUUAAACUUUGGAAAAUCUUCAUUUCCUCAUCUGUGAAGCACCUGCCACAUAGUUAGUACUCAAUAGUUACGGCAUUGGUUCCUUGGUAACUCUGACCUUAACUGUCCACUUUGAACUACAGAUUUAAGGAAAUAUCUGCUCUCAUAUGGGUUUAUCAAUUAAUUCUCCCAUAACAGUUUAAUAGAUGUAGGAUCUGUAAAAACAUAUAUGCAUAAAUACAUAAUUUUAAAGCUGGACAUGGCUCUUUAAUCAUAAAGUUUACCCUCAAUAAUGCCUCAUUUUAUGAAUGUAGAAACUGAGGCUCUGAAAGGCAUGAGACUUGUCCAAGGUGAUAGAGCUGAUAGGCAUGAGUCAGGACUAGAGCUGAAUCUUCCAUCUUCUAGUCUAGCAUCUUCUUGUCACUUCUUGCCUCUCUAAAACCACACAUUUAAUAAGAUAAAAUAUACUUGCUUUAAAAAGCUAAUGAUGUGAAUAUUAUUUCCUUUCUAUUUCAGGGGUCAUUAUAUAGGACAAGAAAAAUCCUGUGAAGUGAUCCUCAUCCAGCUAAUAAAAUUAACUAUACAAGAAGGUAUAGAAAACCCCUCCCUAUCAUUGCAGAGGUGGCAUCCAAAGACCCAAGAAAGGAGUCAGCAAUAGCCUAGGAUCCAGGACUCAGAGAGAGACCCAUAUUGGGAAAAGGUGCUGAAUAAGGGGUAGAGUUUUUAUAUUCCUUACCCAGCCCCAAAUUAACUUCCCCAGGCUAGUCCUCUGUUUCAAGCUUCUAUGCCUCCCUUGAGGAGUCACAAGAUUUCCAAAAGCUCCAUGUUUUUUUCACAUGGCUGUUUCUUCCUCGAAUUCUUUAUUCCUGCCCACCUGACUAAUAUGGACAUUAGUGUAUCUGCAAUAAAUUUAUACUACAAUUCUGCCAUCCUAGGCAAACAUGGAGGUGACCAGACCCGCAAUGAAUUCAGGAAGCGGAAUGUGGUUAGUGACUAAUACCAAGGAAUCAUAAAUGCAAUUCAACUGAUAACAGUUAGGUCUGCGCCUCUAAAAACAGGACCAAAGGAUCUUCUGGGCUCCCUCAACAAAGCUGGGCGCCAACACUGACUGAAUAGCUAUCCUUGGGUCUGACUCACCCGACCCAGUGGAGUGGAGGGGAAGGUCACAGAACUGGAAGCACAUCCAGUCCAGUUCUGGACACCUGCCUGUCUGCCCACGAAUGACCACUGUGGAAUCUAAGGCAAGCAGACAGCUCCCAAAACUCACCCUGGAGUCUGCCUCCGUGCAUGGCCCAGCAACCACAGCAGUCUCCACUCCAUCCCUGGCCACCAUCAGAAAGGCAUCUGUUACCUCCUGCCUGGCCUUCAGUUCUGUGGUUGCUAGUAUAACCCAACGGCCAUAAAUUUCAAACUCUGCUAAAUGUUGACCUACUUCUAACUCUGACUGCAACACUUCCCCUUUGGGAUAACGGUCUUACUCCUGAGUACUCUCUGCUAAAUGAGUGCCACCUUGUCUCUUUCCUCUGCAUCAUUAUAAUUAAUAAGCAACAAUAUCAUCCCUCAUGAUUAUGUUCUUAUUAGAUGUUAACUGGCCUUAGCAUCAUUAUCUCAUUAAACCUUUCCACCUAAAUUACUUUAUCAGCUUCCCUCCUAAGGAGGUCUGGUACUGUCUGUCUGAAAGGAAUCUCCUACACAAACACAAGAAACCAAAAAGGAUGAUCACUGGUAUUUAGUCCUGCUCCAAAUACUAAUAUUUUUAAAAAAUUAAUGUUAUUUCUACUACUAACAAUAACCUUACAUUGCUAUAAAUCUUCUUAUCCAAAGUAUUUAAAGCUAUACCCAUAAGUUUUUUAGCUUCCUCUCAUUUUUAUGGGGAAAAAAUGUAAAAGAAUGCAUUCUAUAAUAUUUCUAACUGUUAAAACUUCCUCCCUUAUCAUUACCCAUUUCUAUUUGGAAAAACUAUUUCCAGUUCUUUCAUUAAGAUGAUGAAUUUCAAAAUUUUAUAGAAAAGGCUGUAAAAUAGGUUUGCUGGUUUACUUCAGUUGUUCUAGGUGCAAUCUUUUCUUCAACUUUCCUGAUAAUGCUUAGCUUUUCUUUCCUUUAAUAGCAUUCAUUUUAUACAUUAACCUUUUAUUAAAAAGUAGAUGAAAACUAUUCUGCUCAUAAAUGAAGAACAUAGACUAGUACGUUUCUCUAGAAAUGCUUUCAUUCCUGAGGACUAAUGACAUUUAUUGCUUCCUCUGUUGUCCUCACAAUUUCAUGUUAACCAUGAACUCUUUUAAUCUUUUCCUUCUUUAUUACUAAGUUCUGCACAUUCUCCAAAGUUUGGGAAGAUAUGCCAUCGAGAGUCCAAACUUGCCCUUUUACAGCCAUUAAUCAUGUUUUGUUUCCCACCCUAGUCAUCUCUUCCCUUCCUUGCCAUCCCAAAUCCCUUAACUAUCUACCAUCAUUCAUCCUCACUUUCCCAAGUAAUUUGCUAUUUUUUAAUAUCUUAUUAUCUCAUAUUCCUCAUUACCCACUUAUCCUUCAAACUCUAUUGUUCAUUUAAUUUUCUCAGAAAUUAUACAGUCUUAUUUGGCUUGCAGCAUCUUUCUCCCCAUUCUUGCACACCUACCUCACCUUCCCACUUUCCAACUUCCUUUUUGUUUCCAAAGGUGCAGAUCAUGAUUUGAAAUGAUGGAAAUAAAUCUUAAUCUCCUUCCACUUACUUAAUUUUAAAAAUCCAAUGAUCAUUCCCAGAGGGAAACCUAGGUUUGUAAUUCUCAAGCCUUGCCACAGAAGCAAUCAAAUACACUAGGUCUCUUUUUAUUUAAUCAUGGAUAAUACAAGGAAACGCUUUCUAAAAUGAAAUAUUGCACAGUUGGUUGGUGUUAAUCUGAGAUGCGCCGACCAUUCUUUUUCUCCUUUGGGAGUGAAGCCUAGUAUGGUCAGCCAAGGACACAUUUGUGUCUUAUGAAUCUAUGUCACAUAAGCCUUUUUUCUUAGGGAUCUAAAUAAACCGCUAAAUACAAAUCCUGCUGUCAUCAAGCUUUCUGUUAGUGUCCAGCCUCUUUUCUUAGAAGAGCAUAAUCUUAGCUUUAAAAAUUUUUUGUUUAUAUUUUGUUUUUCAACCUUCACAGGCUUUGAGGCUGUUUUCCCUUUCUCUUGAUCUUUCUUUGCUCCUCCUGAAAUCUCAGGCGAAUUAAUUUUAGCAAACACUGCAGGCAUGCAGUCUUCCCUUUAUUUUCUCUAUUUCAGGAUCCUUCCUCACCUAAUCCUUCUCCAGUUCUUUCCUUCCUAUUUCAAGUGCAGGACAGGGAUGAACUCCCAUCUUUGGACAGCCCCAUCUUUAUAUCAUCCUUCACUUUCCUCUCAUCAUUUCAUUUCACUCCAUACACACACUACUUUCGUUCCUGACCAUGUUUGGCCACUUGUGUGGCUGCUGAAGUUCUGGCAGCCUGCCUUCCUGGCCAUGAGUACAGCUACUUGGUUCCUUCAGUGCCCCCCAGGUGCUGCCAAGGCAAAGGCAUCAUGAUCAUUGACUUUAUCAGUGAUAACACCAAGGCAAUGGAAGUAAACAUACAUAGGGACAGCCUCAUUUCAUGCUUAAAGGAAGAACUGGGGCAAUUUCCCCAACUCAACUAUCUCCCAUUGAACUUCUCUGAAGAAUAGUGUUCCUUUUCAAAGCUUAUUGAUUUUCCCAUUCCAUUACAGGCAUAUAAAGGCCUUAUAUGGGAAUGAGAUUAGUAAAUUGUAACUACUGAAACCUAGCAUGCAUCUCCAUAUGAUUAUGACCUUACUCUCUUUCUACACUGGCCAAAGGUAUAGAUGCUUGUGCAGUGGGAAAUCCUGCUCAUUGAAUGACUAUGAGUACGUUUCUUUGAAAAGAACAGAGUUUUCCUGAGUUAAUCCCUUUUUUAAUAAUCCAAAUUAUCUACUCUUUUUUUCUAAAAUGUGACCCCUUUCCCCCUCUGUAUUCUAUUACGAUUCACCACGAUUUCUCCUGAGGGUACAAUAGAGUCUAAUUUUCUUCAUUAUUCAAUUUGGAUCCUGUUAAGAGAGACAGACAUUCACUGACAAGAAGAACAUUUAAAUUUUGGCAAAUAAGUUCAUUAGUAUUCAGAAAGCUUUGCACCCCUCAUAUUUAAUAAACCUUUCCAUUACAGAGUAAGAAAUCCUGCAAAAUAGUCAAACAAAUUAGCAAUGGGGCCACCAAGAGAGUACAUUCAACCUGGAUUCAAAGAUGUCUCAGUUUAUUAGUUUUCUGUCAAUCAUUAAAACAAGAAAGAUGAAAC